CUACCCUUAUCUCUUACUCAUGUUUAUUGUCGGGCAAAUGCCCCACAACCUAAAAAAGACAUGGCUACCAAAGGGGGACAAGCAAUUAUGUUAUGGAUUAGACAUGGGACCAAAUGGACUUCUUUAGCUAGUGUGCUCACAAAGGGCAGACAUAGGAGAGGCUCAAGAAAAAAUAAAGCAUUAUACUUACAAGACCUAAAGACAGAAACCACGCCAGCCAUACAGGGAAAGACACUAGGAUGGUUAUUAGGCAGCAGACCACCGUGAGGGAAAGGUUUGGAACACAGCCUCCAUUGCCUUCUGUUAAGUGAGCCGGAUUCAGACACCAGGAACCCUCCGGUCCCACUGGCCAGGUGCUCGGGACUGGGUAAUUUCCUCCGCUCAAGGCUAGGAACAUACCUGCGCUUGGAACUGAGGCUGCCGCACCUCCGCAGACUUAGAAGACGAAUUCUUGGAGCCCAGGGUCUGCCGGGGUUGGGUUCCUGCCGCCGCGCGCGCUACCCGCCCGAAACCCGCUACAAAGUAGCGGCGCGUCUGCCCUGGGGAGGCAAAGCGCAAACUUGUUACCGCGCCGGGACCUGCCCCGGGAUCCUCCCAGCUGCUCCGCAGGACGCAGCGCCUGUGCAUCCCGCGGCCCUGGGACUGGCGCGGCCUUCCGCCCCCUGGGCCGCCGAGGGCUGCUCUACCCCUCCGUUCUGGCCGUGGGGAGCAGAGGAGCUCGGGGCGGGCAAAGCUCGAGGGGACACUGGGAGAGCCCAGACCCUGCCUGGGAGCACUCCCAGCCAGAGUCCAAAGGGCAGAGACGCACUCACAGCGCAACUCCUCGGGACAAACUGGCCGACGAUCCCCACCUGGCCAGAAGACCAAGAAGGCGCGCGGCGGGAACUGACCGGAGCGGGGACGCACGAGGGCCGGGAAGUUCCCGGGCUGGGGCGGGGCGGGGCGGGGCACCGCAGGGCAGAUUGCCGGAUUCAGGCACCAGGAACCCACUCGUCCAACAGGCCAGAUCCAAGGCCCGACACUGCUGUAACCAUCAGCACAAGCUUGAAGAUGAUGCUGACACAGAGGACAGCAAAGCCAGUCAAGUCACAAGCACAUGGAGUCACAGGCACUGGAUUUAAUACUUUUGAAGCAGGUUCUACUUCAGGGCUUUCACUGAGGUGAAUCGAUCAAUUUCCAGAAGCUACAGAACAGGGUUUCCUGGUUUUGGUCCCUGGGAUAAUAUGCAACAGAACUACCCUGAAGAAUUGCUAAGAAUUCAGAUUCCUGGGCCCAGUCUGAAACCUACUGAAUCAGCAUCAAGAUCUCCAGGUUGGGGCACAGUGGGAUGUGCCUAUAGUCCAAGAUACUUGGAAGGCUGAGUGAGGAAGAUCUCUUAAGCUCAGGAGUUCAAGUCCAGCCUGGGUAAUAUAAUGAGACCCUGUCCUUAAAAAAACCAAAAACCAAAAAAAAGUCCCUAGGUUACUUUUAUGUAAGCUGUAAUUCACUUUAUAUAUUGUCUACCUAGGCCACAAUGCCAACAAUGUAAGUUUUUUUUAAAUAAAAGUCACUUACAACAUUUAAAAAAUAAAGUAUCAUUCACCUUG
This is a long non-coding RNA of Rhinopithecus bieti (black snub-nosed monkey), 1586 nucleotides long. The record is from Ensembl. Lineage: Eukaryota; Metazoa; Chordata; Mammalia; Primates; Cercopithecidae.